UUUUUUGGGUGUCUUUGUGGAUGGGACUGGUACUUUCUGUAUCUAGGAGUACAAAUGGCCAAAGUACUGCACUGGAGUACUACUGAAAGACCUUGGAGAAGAUCUAGCCAAAGAAUUUAUCAUUUCAACCCGAGGAAAAUAGAAUUGACAAAUCAACAAAAUCCCUGAAAUUUAAGGUGUCUGUAUUUCUGAAGACCCAACUUUUGCUAAGAAGGAAACUGUGUUCACAGAGGAGCAUUGUGAUUCACAACUUUUAACAAUGAAGCAGCACAGGAAGAAUUCACAGUGCAAAAGGAGUCAGGAGAUGAACACAGACAAGAGGCAGGAGUACCAACAGAGCACUGUGGAUCAGCACAGCAUAAGCCAGCAGGAAACAUUUCAAGCAGUUGUUGCAGAAAAUGAGUAUUUCAAGGUAAGGUUU
Long non-coding RNA from Junco hyemalis (dark-eyed junco), 421 nucleotides. NCBI's taxonomy places the organism in Eukaryota, Metazoa, Chordata, Aves, Passeriformes, Passerellidae. The record is from Ensembl.